GAAUAUUGGACAAUGGGGGAAACCCUGAUCCAGCCAUGCCGCGUGCGUGAAGAAGGCCUUAGGGUUGUAAAGCGCUUUCGGCGGGGAAGAUGAUGACGGUACCCGCAGAAGAAGCCCCGGCUCACUCCGUGCCAGCCUCCGCGGUAAGACGGAGGGGGCUAGCGUUGUUCGGAUUUACUGGGCGUAAAGGGCGCGUAGGCGGGCAUUCAAGUCAGGGGUGGAAGGCCUGGGCUCAACCUGGGAACUGCCUUUGAAACUGAGUGUCUAGAGGCCGAGAGAGGUUAGCGGAAUUCCCAGUGUAGAGGUGAAAUUCGUAGAUAUUGGGAAGAACACCAGUGGCGAAGGCGGCUAUCUGGCUCGGUUCUGACGCUGAGGCGCGAAAGCGUGGGGAGCAAACAGG
Molecule: ribosomal RNA, 400 nt
Filed under: uncultured bacterium
Lineage: Bacteria
Description: bacterial SSU rRNA
Rfam family: Bacterial small subunit ribosomal RNA
Source: RNAcentral